UUUUUUUUUUUUUUUUUUUUUGUGUGUGUGUGUUUUGGAACAAAAAUUCUAGAAGUGUGGUUUGGGUGUUGUGGAUUUUUUGGUGGGUUUUUUUUUUUUGUUUUUGUUUUUCUAGAGUUCCUUUUCAAGUGACUUUGUGGCAGCAGAAAUAAAAAUCCCACAUUUAUUUCAACUGUUAGAACACAUUCAGAAAACCACAAAUGUACAAAUUCUGCCCAUGAUUUUGAGCAGGCCACACCACAGAUUUAUCAAGUUCCUUCCCAGAUUUGCUCGUAGCUAAAUUGGGGAACCCUACAGGGCAAAUGGCUUCUUUGUGUGUUUAAAAACAGCACGUAAGGACAAGUUAAGGACAUUGUUCAGUUUGUGACUAAAGCAGGAAUACAAAAUACUGAGAUAAAACUUCUGUUUACAUCUGGAACAGAUGUAUCAAUCCAAACUUCUUCCUGAAUGCUUUAUGUGCAUCAGAUAAUGUUGUCACUCCAAUGAGAAUAAUUUGCAUAGAAGUAUGAAAGCUGGGAAAUGGUUCAAUCAGUAAAGUUCCUGGAAAAAAGAAGGGGAAAAAAAAUUAAGAAGAAAAAAUGCUUAAAAAACAAAGAUCAGGGAUGGAGGAAAUGGUAAAAAGAAGCAGCAGAAGCUGCAUCAGGCAGGACUGCAUGUGGAGACAACAAAGUUUAAACCUUGGUGUCUUGAGUCCAAAUCCCAGCACAGGAACAUUUCAAAACGUGGGCCUGAUCUUUGUGCCCCAGAGACCGAAAACCAGCUCUGGAAUGAAGCUGUACUUGACAUGUAUUUGAGGAAAAUGUGAUUUUUUUUUUUUUCAGAGCCAAUGGCAAAGAAAGAACAGUGAGAAGUACAAAACCUCCACCCUACAAUUAAUUUAAAGACUGUGAAAAUCUUCAUCCAUUAGUUACAUUUGUUCUUCCAAGGAAAAAGAAAGGAUCAAGUGGGGUAGACUUUCCAGAAAUAUCUUAUUCUUCUACUUUCUUUUUCUUCUUUGGAGAGGACAGGAAAAAUAACGGAUCAAAAAGACUUAAAGUGACAUUAAAAAAAUUGGGUGUGGGGGAGGAAGGUGGUGUAUUUGGGAUGGAAUGAUGGAUUAAAAGAAUGCAAGACACUUUAAGGAGUUGUGAGGAGAAUUCAUUGUCGUGUCUGGGGCUGGGGCCAUGAAAAGGGUGUGUGUUUUAUUGGGUAAACAUCAAAAAACUUCUCAAAUAAACUCAUCAAUAAACUUCUGAGAUGCUCUAGUGGUUGAUUCCAAAAGACCCUUGCCUUGUUUGCAGGGAUAGCUCUUCCUAAAUUCCACAUCUAUUUCUUGUUGCAGUUAAAAAUGGGAACUAGAGAGGCGAGAAGAAGAAAAAAAUUGCAAACAAAAGGCCACUGUAGCCGUUCUGCUAAACAGAUAUAUUUAACAUAUCUCUCCAAGAGUUACAGAAAAUUACAGAGGAAACUUCUGUAAGACAGAUGUCAAUAAAAUGCCAUCCAUUUCCAAGCUGUGAAUUCUUCACAAAACUGUCAAAAAUCUUCAUAGAGAGAUCAAGUCUUUUGCCUCCUUGAUCUGAUGUAGGCUCCACAAGAAAAAAAAAAA
This is a long non-coding RNA of Taeniopygia guttata (zebra finch), 1585 nucleotides long. The record is from Ensembl. Lineage: Eukaryota; Metazoa; Chordata; Aves; Passeriformes; Estrildidae.